GAUCAUGGCUCAGAUUGAACGCUGGCGGCAUGCCUUACACAUGCAAGUCGAACGGCAGCGGACCUUCGGGUGCCGGCGAGUGGCGAACGGGUGAGUAAUGCAUCGGAACGUGCCAUUGAGUGGGGAUAACGUAGCGAAAGUUGCGCUAAUACCGCAUAUUCUGUGAGCAGGAAAGCAGGGACGCAAGGCCUUGCGCUCUUUGAGCGGCCGAUGUCAGAUUAGCUAGUUGGUGAGGUAACGGCUUACCAAGGCGACGAUCUGUAGCGGGGUCUGAGAGGAUGAUCCGCCACACUGGAACUGAGACACGGUCCAGACUCCUACGGGAGGCAGCAGUGGGGAAUUUUGGACAAUGGGGGCAACCCUGAUCCAGCCAUGCCGCGUGAGUGAAGAAGGCCUUCGGGUUGUAAAGCUCUUUCGGCCGGGAAGAAAUCGCAUGGGUUAAUACCCUGUGUGGAUGACGGUACCGGCAUAAGAAGCACCGGCUAACUACGUG
This 493-nucleotide ribosomal RNA is filed under the name uncultured bacterium. RNAcentral describes it as "bacterial SSU rRNA". It matches the Rfam family "Bacterial small subunit ribosomal RNA", at positions 15 to 507 of the family's 1533-position model. The record is from RNAcentral.